UGGCAUCUCUCGAAACCUCCUCGACCGUCCGAGCUUCCGGACUUCUCCAACAAUGAGCUUCUCCAUUCAUCUACUGGGCCGCUCCUAAGGCCGCUCCAAAGGCUCUCUAGGCUUCACUAUCAGCCGACCUUCUACAGUGAUCAACUAUUCUCCGAAUCCCUUCCAGACUUCUUCCGACCGUGGAUGACCCUACUCCGAACUUCUUCCAGACUUCGUCAAUAUCCGAGCUUCUCC
RNAcentral lists this long non-coding RNA (234 nucleotides) under Elaeis guineensis (African oil palm). RNAcentral's name for it is "long non-coding RNA (EGUI_LNC064223)". The record is from RNAcentral. Lineage: Eukaryota; Viridiplantae; Streptophyta; Magnoliopsida; Arecales; Arecaceae.